RNAcentral lists this ribosomal RNA (492 nucleotides) under uncultured bacterium. Its description in RNAcentral is "partial 16S ribosomal RNA". It matches the Rfam family "Bacterial small subunit ribosomal RNA", at positions 29 to 507 of the family's 1533-position model. The record is from RNAcentral.
AGUGAACGCUGGCGGUAGGCCUAACACAUGCAAGUCGAACGGCAGCACAGUAAGAGCUUGCUCUUACGGGUGGCGAGUGGCGGACGGGUGAGGAAUACAUCGGAAUCUACUUUUUCGUGGGGGAUAACGUAGGGAAACUUACGCUAAUACCGCAUACGACCUACGGGUGAAAGCAGGGGAUCUUCGGACCUUGCGCGAUUGAAUGAGCCGAUGUCGGAUUAGCUAGUUGGCGGGGUAAAGGCCCACCAAGGCGACGAUCCGUAGCUGGUCUGAGAGGGUGAUCAGCCACACUGGAACUGAGACACGGUCCAGACUCCUACGGGAGGCAGCAGUGGGGAAUAUUGGACAAUGGGCGCAAGCCUGAUCCAGCCAUACCGCGUGGGUGAAAAAGGCCUUCGGGUUGUAAAGCCCUUUUGUUGGGAAAGAAAAGCAGCAGGUUAAUACCCCGCUGUUCUGACGGUACCCAAAGAAUAAGCACCGGCUAACUUCGUG